This is a long non-coding RNA of Perognathus longimembris pacificus (Pacific pocket mouse), 189 nucleotides long. RefSeq lists it as uncharacterized. NCBI's taxonomy places the organism in Eukaryota, Metazoa, Chordata, Mammalia, Rodentia, Heteromyidae. The record is from RefSeq and is a predicted model, not a curated record. The transcript is spliced from 3 exons.
CCUGGACUGCCUUGGUCAUGCCUCCCUCAUAGUGAGAGGUUCCCCAAGCUCUGAGAUCACUUCCCUAUCCACUGUGGUCCUGCCUCCUACUUUUCCCUAUAUAAUCCGGCUCAACAGGAGUCCUCUCUCUUUCUCUUCUUCCUUCCCUCUCCUGUCUCCUGCAGGCCCACAUUGUAUAGGGUUGCAGUU